RNAcentral lists this ribosomal RNA (492 nucleotides) under uncultured bacterium. RNAcentral describes it as "bacterial SSU rRNA". It matches the Rfam family "Bacterial small subunit ribosomal RNA", at positions 29 to 507 of the family's 1533-position model. The record is from RNAcentral.
AUGAACGCUAGCGGCAGGCUUAACACAUGCAAGUCGAGGGGCAGCAUGAGACGGAGAUUCGUCGAAGUCUUGAUGGCGACCGGCGCAAGGGUGCGUAACGCGUGAGCAACUUGCCCGUUUCUGGGGGAAUAACCGGUGGAAACGCCGACUAAUACCCCACAGCAUAUUUAGGAGGCAUCUCUUGAAUAUUAAAGAAUUUCGGAAACGGAUAGGCUCGCGUGACAUUAGCUAGAUGGCGGGGUAACGGCCCACCAAGGCGACGAUGCAUAGGGGUUCUGAGAGGAAGGUCCCCCACACUGGUACUGAGACACGGACCAGACUCCUACGGGAGGCAGCAGUGAGGAAUAUUGGUCAAUGGGCGAGAGCCUGAACCAGCCAAGUCGCGUGAGGGAUGACGGUCCUAUGGAUUGUAAACCUCUUUUGUCGGGGAGCAAGAGCUCUACGAGUAGAGUAGUGAGAGUACCCGAAGAAAAAGCAUCGGCUAACUCCGUG